This 335-nucleotide ribosomal RNA is filed under the name uncultured bacterium. RNAcentral describes it as "bacterial SSU rRNA". It matches the Rfam family "Bacterial small subunit ribosomal RNA", at positions 466 to 793 of the family's 1533-position model. The record is from RNAcentral.
CAUUUGACGUUAGCUGCAGAAGAAGCACCGGCUAACUCCGUGCCAGCAGCCGCGGUAAUACGGAGGGUGCGAGCGUUAAUCGGAAUUACUGGGCGUAAAGCGCAUGCAGGUGGUUUGUUAAGUCAGAUGUGAAAGCCCCGGGGCUCAACCUCGGAAUUGCAUUUGAAAACUGGCAAACUAGAGUACUGUAGAGGGGGUAGGAAUUUCAGGUGUAGCGGUGAAAUAGCGUAGAGAUCUGAAGGAAUACCGGUGGCGAAGGACGGCCCCCUCGGACAGAUACUGACACUCAGAUGCGAAAGACGUGGGGAGGCAAACAGGAUUAGAUACCCUGGUAG